GGCCACAUGGCGCAAUGGUCAACGCCUGGCUCACAUUAGUGUGGGAAACUAAUGGUGCGUGGGUUCGAAUCCCACUGUGGUCG
This 83-nucleotide transfer RNA is filed under the name Biscogniauxia mediterranea. Its description in RNAcentral is "tRNA-Pro". It matches the Rfam family "tRNA". Rfam says of the family: Transfer RNA (tRNA) molecules are approximately 80 nucleotides in length. Their secondary structure includes four short double-helical elements and three loops (D, anti-codon, and T loops). Lineage: Eukaryota; Fungi; Ascomycota; Sordariomycetes; Xylariales; Xylariaceae. The record is from RNAcentral.